AGCGAACGCUGGCGGCAGGCCUAACACAUGCAAGUCGAGCGCUCGUAGCAAUACGAGAGCGGCAGACGGGAGAGUAACACGUGGGAACGUACCCUUUGGUUCGGAACAACACAGGGAAACUUGUGCUAAUACCGAAUAACGCCCUUACGGGGAAAGAUUUAUCGCCAAAGGAUCGGCCCGCGUCUGAUUAGCUAGUUGGUGGGGUAACGGCUCACCAAGGCGACGAUCAGUAGCNGGUCUGAGAGGAUGACCAGCCUCAUUGGGACUGAGACACGGCCCAAACUCCUACGGGAGGCAGCAGUGGGGAAUAUUGGACAAUGGGCNCAAGCCUGAUCCAGCCAUGCCGCGU
This 349-nucleotide ribosomal RNA is filed under the name uncultured bacterium. RNAcentral describes it as "bacterial SSU rRNA". It matches the Rfam family "Bacterial small subunit ribosomal RNA", at positions 29 to 402 of the family's 1533-position model. The record is from RNAcentral.